This 549-nucleotide ribosomal RNA is filed under the name uncultured Glomus. RNAcentral's name for it is "SSU rRNA". It matches the Rfam family "Eukaryotic small subunit ribosomal RNA", at positions 548 to 1098 of the family's 1831-position model. The record is from RNAcentral. Lineage: Eukaryota; Fungi; Glomeromycota; Glomeromycetes; Glomerales; Glomeraceae.
UUGGAGGGCAAGUCUGGUGCCAGCAGCCGCGGUAAUUCCAGCUCCAAUAGCGUAUAUCAAAGUUGUUGCAGUUAAAAAGCUCGUAGUUGAAUUUCGGGGUUAGUAGGUUGGUCAUGCCUCUGGUAUGUACUGGUCUCACUGAUUCCUCCUUCCUGAUGAACCGUAAUGCCAUUAAUUUGGUGCUUUGGGGAAUUUGGACUGUUACUUUGAAAAAAUUAGAGUGCUUAAAGCAAGCUAACGCUUGAAUACAUCAGCAUGGAAUAAUGAAAUGGGACGUUCGAUCCUAUUUUGUUGGUUUCUAGGAUUGACGUAAUGAUUAAUAGGGAUAGUUGGGGGCAUUAGUAUUCAAUUGUCAGAGGUGAAAUUCUUGGAUUUAUUGAGGACUAACUACUGCGAAAGCAUUUGCCAAGGAUGUUUUCAUUAAUCAAGAACGAAAGUUAGGGGAUCGAAGACGAUCAGAUACCGUCGUAGUCUUAACCAUAAACUAUGCCGACUAGGGAUCGGAUGAUGUUAAUUUUUUAAUGACUCAUUCGGCGCCUUACGGGAAAC